AGCACGGCAGUGAGACUGCGGGGGAUAAGCUUCGUAGUCGAGAGGGAAACAGCCCAGAUCAUCAGCUAAGGCCCCUAAGCGUGCGCUAAGUGGGAAAGGAUGUGGAGUCGCGGUGACAACCAGGAGGUUGGCUUAGAAGCAGCCAUCCUUGAAAGAGUGCGUAAUAGCUCACUGGUCAAGUGGUUCUGCGCCGACAAUGUAGCGGGGCUCAAGCGUACCGCCGAAGCUGUGGCAGCAACACGUGGUGCUGGCGCCUUUUAUUGGUUGUUGGUGUGUUGUUGGGUAGGGGAGCGUCCUGCAUGAGGUGAAGCCCGGGGGUAACCUCUGGUGGAUUGUGUGGGAGUGAGAAUGCAGGCAUGAGUAGCGAAUCUGCGGUGAGAAUCCGCAGCGCCGAUUGACUAAGGGUUCCAGGGCUAGGUUUAUCCGCCCUGGGUUAGUCGGGUCCUAAGGCGAGGCCGACAGGCGUAGUCGAUGGACAACCAGUUGAUAUUCUGGUACCGCGUUAUGACCGCCCAUGCUGAAGUCAUUGUGCUAACCAAUUUGCUCACGCCACCAUGAUUCCUUCGGGUUUUGUGGUGUGUGUGGGUCUUGGGGCCCCGGUGAUUGUAGGCAAGCGUGUUAACAGGGGUGACGCAGACAGGUAGCUGCAGUGCGCCGAUGGUUGUGCGUAUUUAAGGUUGUGGCCCGCCUCCCAGGCAAAUCCGAGAGGCAUUGUGGGUGAGAACUGAUGAGGGACACACGCGUGUGUGGACUUGUGGUGAUCCUAAGCUGCCGAGAAAAGCCUCGACGUGAGGGCAUAACGCGCCCGUACCCUAAACCGACUCAGGUGGUCAGGUAGAGUAUACCGAGGCGUUCGAGUGAAUCGUGGUUAAGGAACUCGGCAAAAUUCCUCCGUAACUUCGGGAUAAGGAGGACCCCGUAACUUGGGCCCGCCUCGCGUGGGUGUUGGGUUGUGGGGUCGCAGAGAAUAGGGAGAAGCGACUGUUUAUCAAAAACACAGGUGCGUGCGAAGCCGUAAGGCGAUGUAUACGCACUGACGCCUGCCCGGUGCUGGAAGGUUAAGAGGAACCGUCAGCCCUUUUUUGGGUGAAGCGGUGAAUUUAAGCCCCAGUAAACGGCGGUGGUAACUAUAACCAUCCUAAGGUAGCGAAAUUCCUUGUCGGGUAAGUUCCGACCUGCACGAAUGGCGUAACGACUUCUCUACUGUCUCAACCAUGAACUCGGCGAAAUUGCAUUACGAGUAAAGAUGCUCGUUACGCGCAGAAGGACGGAAAGACCCCGGGACCUUUACUAUACCUUGGUAUUGGCAUUCGGUGUGGAUUGUGUAGCAUAGGCGGGAGGCCGAGAGGCGCGGUCGCCAG
This 1361-nucleotide ribosomal RNA is filed under the name human gut metagenome. Its description in RNAcentral is "bacterial LSU rRNA". It matches the Rfam family "Bacterial large subunit ribosomal RNA", at positions 974 to 2174 of the family's 2925-position model. The record is from RNAcentral.